This 333-nucleotide unclassified non-coding RNA is filed under the name soil metagenome. RNAcentral's name for it is "partial contains 5.8S ribosomal RNA, internal transcribed spacer 2, and large subunit ribosomal RNA". The stretch from base 1 to 119 matches the Rfam family "5.8S ribosomal RNA", at positions 35 to 154 of the family's 154-position model. The record is from RNAcentral.
GAUGAAGAACGCAGCGAAAUGCGAUAAGUAUGUGAAUUGCAGAAUUCAGUGAAUCAUCGAAUCUUUGAACGCACAUUGCGCCCCCCAGUAUUCUGGCGGGCAUGCCUGUUCGAGCGUCAUUUCAACCAUCAAGCCCUGCUUGUGUUGGGGUCCUGCGGCUGCCCGCAGGCCCUGAAAACCAGUGGCGGGCUCGCUAGUCACACCGAGCGCAGUAGCACAUCUCGCUCAGGGCGUGCGGCGGGCUCCAGCCGUUAAAGCACCCACCUUUCGCAAGGUUGACCUCGGAUCAGGUAGGAAUACCCGCUGAACUUAAGCAUAUCAAUAAGCGGAGGA